UACGUAGGUGGCAAUCGUUGUCCGGAAUUACUGGGUGUAAAGGGCGUGUAGGCGGGGAUGCAAGUCAGAUGUGAAAUCCUGGGGCUCAACCCCAGAGCUGCAUCUGAAACUGCAACUCUUGAGUGCUGGAGAGGAAAGCGGAAUUCCUAGUGUAGCGGUGAAAUGCGUAGAUAUUAGGAGGAACACCAGUGGCGAAGGCGGCUUUCUGGACAGUAACUGACGCUGAGGCGCGAAAGCGUGGGGAGCGAACAGG
RNAcentral lists this ribosomal RNA (253 nucleotides) under uncultured bacterium. Its description in RNAcentral is "partial 16S ribosomal RNA". It matches the Rfam family "Bacterial small subunit ribosomal RNA", at positions 524 to 776 of the family's 1533-position model. The record is from RNAcentral.